AAGGUAGCCAAAUGCCUCGUC
This 21-nucleotide non-coding RNA is filed under the name Arabidopsis thaliana (thale cress). RNAcentral also lists the same sequence under 3 other names. The record is from RNAcentral. Lineage: Eukaryota; Viridiplantae; Streptophyta; Magnoliopsida; Brassicales; Brassicaceae.